Molecule: ribosomal RNA, 439 nt
Filed under: uncultured bacterium
Lineage: Bacteria
Description: partial 16S ribosomal RNA
Rfam family: Bacterial small subunit ribosomal RNA
Source: RNAcentral
CCUACGGGGGGCUGCAGUGGGGAAUAUUGCACAAUGGGGGAAACCCUGAUGCAGCGACGCCGCGUGAGUGAAGAAGUAAUUCGUUAUGUAAAGCUCUAUCAGCAGGGAAGAAAAUGACGGUACCUGAGUAAGAAGCCCCGGCUAACUACGUGCCAGCAGCCGCGGUAAUACGUAGGGGCAAGCCGUAUCCGGGUGUACUGGGUGUAAAGGGGGCGUAGACGGCAGUGCAAGGCUGGAGGGAAAGGCGGGGGCUCAACCCCCGGACUGCUCUGGAAACUGUACGGCUGGAGUGCAGGAGAGGUAAGUGGAAUUCCUAGUGUAGCGGUGAAAUGCGUAGAUAUUAGGAGGAACACCAGUGGCGAAGGCGGCUUACUGGACUGUAACUGACGUUGAGGCUCGAAAGCGUGGGGAGCAAACAGGAUUAGAUACCCUGGUAGUC